Oryzias melastigma (Indian medaka) is the source of this 717-nucleotide long non-coding RNA. RefSeq lists it as uncharacterized. The transcript is spliced from 4 exons. Lineage: Eukaryota; Metazoa; Chordata; Actinopteri; Beloniformes; Adrianichthyidae. The record is from RefSeq and is a predicted model, not a curated record.
CCCAAGAACCUCAAACUGCACGUGGGAAUUGGAGCCCUCAGCGCGGAAGUCCAUCAUUCCUGUCAGACCACUGAUCCGUCCCUGGAGGGUCAAGAACAAAAGCCACUGUUUAUGAUUUUAUCUUGAUCAUUUUGCUCGAGAGAGACUGACUGAAAACGUCGAUGCAUUCGUCACGCUCUGUGGAUUAGUAAUCAAUAGGUUUCGUGUUGUCGAUAAAGAUGACAAGUUCCUCCAGAUUAAACUCAAAUGGAUGUAAAGAAAUAGAUGCCACUGCAGCAAAGCAUUUGAAGUUGGUUUCCACCGCCUGCAGCAAUGAUGAAAAGAGAAAGACAUAGAAGGUUAGUUUAUUCAAGUAUUCUAAUUCAUUUAAAUCUUUUUUUUUUUGUUUGUGUCAGAGGUUAGGUCAAGUGUCAGAGGUUCUUAGUCUAAAUUAAUCUCUGAAAGUCCUAGUUUAUUACGUUAAGAUGACAGAAAACACACCAGAAUGCUCCUAAACAACAGAUUGAGCAAAACACUUUGUUAAUAGCAGAUGUAAAGACAAAGUGUAAAUAUUUCUAUAAAAUAAAUGAUAAUUUAAGGAUUUUAAUUUUAGGAGAAGAUUUUUGCACAACUAUCAUUUUACAAACAGUAAAAAGAUGUAAAGCAAAGCUGUAUUUGAACACACAAAGACACUUUUGUUAGCAUUUAAGCUUUGUUCCCACUUUGAAUCAUCUGAAU